AGAGUUUGAUCAUGGCUCAGGACGAACGCUGGCGGCGUGCUUAACACAUGCAAGUCACGGGGGCUCGCAAGAGCAACCGGCGAACGGGUGCGUAACACGUGAACAACCUGCCCUCGUGUGGGGGAUAGCCGGGCUAACGCCCGGGUAAUACCGCAUACGUUCCCUUGGGGGAGUCCCCGGGGGAGGAAAGCUCCGGCGCACGGGGAGGGGUUCGCGGCCUAUCAGCUAGUUGGCGGGGUAAUGGCCCACCAAGGCGACGACGGGUAGCUGGUCUGAGAGGAUGGCCAGCCACAUUGGGACUGAGAGACGGCCCAGACUCCUACGGGAGGCAGCAGUGGGGAAUCUUGCGCAAUGGUCGAAAGACUGACGCAGCGACGCCGCGUGUGGGAGGACGCCUUUCGGGGCGUAAACCACUGUUGCCCGGGACGAACGAGCGCUUUCGAGCGCUGUGACGGUACCGGGUGAGGAAGCACCGGCUAACUCCGUGCCAGCAGCCGCGGUA
RNAcentral lists this ribosomal RNA (502 nucleotides) under uncultured Gemmatimonadota bacterium. Its description in RNAcentral is "bacterial SSU rRNA". It matches the Rfam family "Bacterial small subunit ribosomal RNA", at positions 8 to 522 of the family's 1533-position model. The record is from RNAcentral. Lineage: Bacteria; Pseudomonadati; Gemmatimonadota.